Long non-coding RNA from Anser brachyrhynchus (Pink-footed goose), 964 nucleotides. The record is from Ensembl. Lineage: Eukaryota; Metazoa; Chordata; Aves; Anseriformes; Anatidae.
GUUCAGGCCAUUAAGUUUAUUUAGAAAGCAAUUUCAGAACUGUUAGAACAAAAUUGGGAAAAUAUACUGACAAAAGUUUAAGAAUGUAAGCCCUGAAAGACAGAUUAAGUCACUAAAAAAACAACCUCUUCAGGCCUUUAUAUUGGCUAAGGUUGUUGUCUUCCACAGCAGCCCUGGCAUGGCAUCCAGUUCUAGAUACUGUGGUUUAAAUGAAUGUAAAUUGAAUACAGUUGAAAUGUCUUCCAUAUGAUUCUGCACAUCCUUGCAGCCUAGGAGAAAGCCAGCAAGGAGGGGACCAAAGGGAGGCAGGAGCAGGAGCAGUGGAAGGUGGUAAGAGGAUGUGAGGUGAUGGCAGACCCCAAGUGAGAGGUACCCCCACGCAGACUGGAGCAAUUACUGGUGCUAUGUGUAGGCAUCUCCCAACAGGCCUGGGUUGAGGAGAUUGUCCAGCACAGUGCAUUCGAGCAAGUGCCAGGAGCCACAGUCCUGUUUCCCGAUGGAGCUGUGGUCUGCUCACUACAUCAGCUCCUUGUACUGAGAACUAUGGUGGCCAUGUCACAACAGACAGCAAAUCAGUAGUGGCCACAUCACAGUGGGGUCUCUGACAUGGAUGGGACAGUAUAAAAAGGGCUGUGGUCUAGAGCAGGACCUGGUUUGGGAGGCAACCCAAAACAUACGUUGGUCUUUUCCCUCCUCAGUGUCUUGCUGGAGAUUUUGAAAACCUUACAUGAAACAGCAUUGAAUCAAGGAAAAAGAAAGGUGUAUGGUACCUGCCUGCAGACUGCAAAAGCCUUACAGAGUCCAAAAUUAGCAGUUCUAUGUGUAGUUGAGAGACAUUCUGUAAUCAGAAGAGCAAAAGACUACAGAGUAAAAAACUAAAGCCGGAUGAUAAAUCAUGCAAUCUUUAUAGAUGGCAUGCAGCACAAGUUUCAGUGGAGAAAAACAUAUGCAUGGCCAACCAUCC